Molecule: long non-coding RNA, 319 nt
Organism: Pantherophis guttatus
Lineage: Eukaryota; Metazoa; Chordata; Lepidosauria; Squamata; Colubridae
Source: RefSeq, a predicted model, not a curated record
AACCCAUCCAGUGGCCUUUUGAGAUUCCAGAUUAGCAAUGAGGAAGAGAGAACGGCAAGCAGAACGGCAAGCAGAAAUCACAUUAUUUUGUCAGCAGCUUGAAUUGUUUUCCAAUCAGAUGCUUAACCUGGUUCUUUCUCUGGCAAGCACUGUGCUGUGGGAAUACACUCUUGCAAUUACAGAAAGAAACAACACAGCCAUACUGACAACGAACGGUAGAAACAGAAUGCAAAGGUGGAGAUAACAGUGAAAGGAAACAGGUCACAUACAAAGCUGAAUGUGUUUCUGGAGCUUUCCAGUGCAAGAAGCCAAAAUAGAG